GCAGAACUGUGUAAUCAAAUGAUAGUUUCCUUUUUCGCCAAUGGUGGAAUGUUGCUUCAUGGUGGAGUCGGUGUAAAUAUUCGGUACAUAUUAGAUAAUUUGCAUCCAGAGAUUAAUUUACAGCAAUAUAUUAUUGUUAGUUGUCUUGUCUUUAAUGCUUGGAAUGCAGAUUAUCCCUUGUUUUAUUUAUGCAAAAUAGUUUAGUCGAUCUGAUGUCGCACAAACCAUAGAGAAGCAUACUAUAAAUCUAAUAGGUAACAUUUAGUUAACAGAAAUAUUUGCCACAUAUUGUUACUUAUUCAUGUUCAUUCUUAUGGUUUGCAGUUUUUGCUCCGACUAUAUGAUAUAUAUGACCAGGAACCAUGUGUUUGAGAUGAUAUAUAUUCUAUCAUGCUUAUGCAGUUACUUUGAGAGAGAACAUUAGCUAUGUUUU
This 433-nucleotide long non-coding RNA is filed under the name Trifolium pratense (red clover). Its description in RNAcentral is "long non-coding RNA (TPRA_LNC013900)". The record is from RNAcentral. Lineage: Eukaryota; Viridiplantae; Streptophyta; Magnoliopsida; Fabales; Fabaceae.